CCAUGCAGUCGAGCGGAACGAGUUAUCUGAACCUUCGGGGGACAUGCAAGUCGAGCGGAAACGAGUUAUCUGAACCUUCGGGGAACGAUAACGGCGUCGAGCGGCGGACGGGUGAGUAAUGCCUAGGAAAUUGCCCUGAUGUGGGGGAUAACCAUUGGAAACGAUGGCUAACUGGGGUACCGCAUGAUGCCUACGGGCCAAAGAGGGGGACCUUCGAAAGGCCUCUCGCGUCAGGAUAUGCCUAGGUGGGAUUAGCUAGUUGGUGAGGUAAGGGCUCACCAAGGCGACGAUCCCUAGCUGGUCUGAGAGGAUGAUCAGCCACACUGGAACUGAGACACGGUCCAGACUCCUACGGGAGGCAGCAGUGGGGAAUAUUGCACAAUGGGCGCAAGCCUGAUGCAGCCAGGUUGCCGCGUGUGUGAAGAAGGCCUUCGGGUUGUAAAGCACUUUCAGUCGUGAGGAAGGUAGUGUAGUUAAUAGCUGCAUUAUUUGACGUUAGCGACAGAAGAAGCACCGGCUAACUCCGUGCCAGCAGCCGCGGUAAUACGGAGGGUGCGAGCGUUAAUCGGAAUUACUGGGCGUAAAGCGCAUGCAGGUGGUUUGUUAAGUCAGAUGUGAAAGCCCGGGGCUCAACCUCGGAAUAGCAUUUGAAACUGGCAGACUAGAGUACUGUAGAGGGGGGUAGUAGAAUUUCAGGUGUAGCGGUGAAAUGCGUAGAGAUCUGAAGGAAUACCGGUGGCGAAGGCGGCCCCCUGGACAAGCAAAGACACUCAGAUGCGAAAGCGUGGGGAGCAAACAACGAUGGAUACCCUGGUAGUCCACGCCGGAAACGAUGUCUACUUGGAGGUUGUGGCCUUGAGCCGUGGCCCUGGGGAGUACGGUCGCAAGAUUAAAACUCAAUAGACCGCCUGGGGAGUACGGUCGCAAGAUUAAAACUCAAAUGAAUUGACGGGGGCCCGCACAAGCGGUGGAGCAUGUGGUUUAAUUCGAUGCAACGCGAAGAACCUUACCUACUCUUGACAUCCAGAGAACUUUCCAGAGAUGGAUUGGUGCCUUCGGGAACUCUGAGACAGGUGCUGCAUGGCUGUCGUCAGCUCGUGUUGUGAAAUGUUGGGUUAAGUCCCGCAACGAGCGCAACCCUUAUCCUUGUUUGCCAGCGAGUAAUGUCGGGAACUCCAGGGAGACUGCCGGUGAUAAACCGGAGGAAGGUGGGGACGACGUCAAGUCAUCAUGGCCCUUACGAGUAGGGCUACACACGUGCUACAAUGGCGCAUACAGAGGGCGGCCAACUUGCGAAAGUGAGCGAAUCCCAAAAAGUGCGUCGUAGUCCGGAUUGGAGUCUGCAACUCGACUCCAUGAAGUCGGAAUCGCUAGUAAUCGUGGAUCAGAAUGCCACGGUGAAUACGUUCCCGGGCCUUGUACACACCGCCCGUCACACCAUGGGGAGUGGGCUGCAAAAGAAGUAGGUAGUUUAACCUUCGGGGGGGACGCUUACCACUUUGUGGUUCAUGACUGGGGGUGAAGUCGUA
Molecule: ribosomal RNA, 1529 nt
Filed under: Vibrio alginolyticus
Lineage: Bacteria; Pseudomonadati; Pseudomonadota; Gammaproteobacteria; Vibrionales; Vibrionaceae
Description: bacterial SSU rRNA
Rfam family: Bacterial small subunit ribosomal RNA
Source: RNAcentral